Molecule: ribosomal RNA, 253 nt
Filed under: uncultured bacterium
Lineage: Bacteria
Description: partial 16S ribosomal RNA
Rfam family: Bacterial small subunit ribosomal RNA
Source: RNAcentral
UACGAGGGGGGCUAGCGUUGCUCGGAAUGACUGGGCGUAAAGGGCGCGUAGGCGGAUUGUACAGUCAGGCGUGAAAUUCCCGGGCUCAACCUGGGGGCUGCGCUUGAGACGUGCGAUCUUGAGUGGGGAAGAGGGUCGUGGAAUUCCCAGUGUAGAGGUGAAAUUCGUAGAUAUUGGGGAGAACACCGGUGGCGAAGGCGGCGACCUGGUCCUUGACUGACGCUGAGGCGCGAAAGCGUGGGGAGCAAACAGG